CAAUAGCGUAUAUUAAAGCUGUUGCGGUUAAAAAGCUCGUAGUUGGAUUUCUGUCAAGGACAACUGGUCCGCCCUCCGGGUGAGCACAUAGUUUGGUCUUGGCAUCUUGCUGGAAACUGUUGCUGCGCUUGGUUGUGUGGUGCAGCUUUCAGCACUUUCACUUUGAGGAAAUUGAAGUGUUUCAAGCAGGCACAUGCCUUUGGACACAGUAGCAUGGAAUAAUUAGAUUGGGCUUUUGCUCCAACUUGUUGGUUCCUGGAGCUGAGGUGAGAAUCAAUGGGGAUUGUUGGGGGCAUCCGAAUUUAGCCGUCAGAGGUGAAAUUCUUGGAUCUGCUAAAGACGGACAACUGCGAANGNGUUUGCNCAGGAUGUUUNCAUUG
Molecule: ribosomal RNA, 380 nt
Filed under: uncultured eukaryote
Lineage: Eukaryota
Description: partial 18S ribosomal RNA
Rfam family: Eukaryotic small subunit ribosomal RNA
Source: RNAcentral